CCUACGGGUGGCUGCAGUCGAGGAUCUUUGGCAAUGGACGCAAGUCUGACCAAGCGACGCCGCGUGUGCGAUGAAGGCCUUCGGGUUGUAAAGCACUGUCGAGGGGGAGGCCUAUCCCUGGAGGAAGCACGGGCUAAGUUCGUGCCAGCAGCCGCGGUAAGACGAACCGUGCAAACGUUAUUCGGAAUCACUGGGCUUAAAGGGCGCGUAGGCGGGUGGUCAAGUCCGAGGUGAAAGCCUCCAGCUUAACUGGAGAAGUGCCCCGGAUACUGAUUGUCUCGAGGAGGGUAGGGGCAUCUGGAACUAGCGGUGGAGCGGUGAAAUGCGUUGAUAUCGCUAGGAACUCCAAUGGCGAAGGCAAGGUGCUGGACCUUCUGACGCUGAGGCGCGAAAGCCAGGGGAGCGAACGGGAUUAGAUACCCUUGUAGUC
RNAcentral lists this ribosomal RNA (430 nucleotides) under uncultured bacterium. RNAcentral describes it as "partial 16S ribosomal RNA". It matches the Rfam family "Bacterial small subunit ribosomal RNA", at positions 338 to 795 of the family's 1533-position model. The record is from RNAcentral.